RNAcentral lists this ribosomal RNA (492 nucleotides) under uncultured bacterium. RNAcentral describes it as "partial 16S ribosomal RNA". It matches the Rfam family "Bacterial small subunit ribosomal RNA", at positions 29 to 507 of the family's 1533-position model. The record is from RNAcentral.
AGUGAACGCUGGCGGUAGGCCUAACACAUGCAAGUCGAACGGCAGCACAGUAAGAGCUUGCUCUUACGGGUGGCGAGUGGCGGACGGGUGAGGAAUACAUCGGAAUCUACUUUUUCGUGGGGGAUAACGUAGGGAAACUUACGCUAAUACCGCAUACGACCUACGGGUGAAAGCAGGGGAUCUUCGGACCUUGCGCGAUUGAAUGAGCCGAUGUCGGAUUAGCUAGUUGGCGGGGUAAAGGCCCACCAAGGCGACGAUCCGUAGCUGGUCUGAGAGGAUGAUCAGCCACACUGGAACUGAGACACGGUCCAGACUCCUACGGGAGGCAGCAGUGGGGAAUAUUGGACAAUGGGCGCAAGCCUGAUCCAGCCAUACCGCGUGGGUGAAGAAGGCCUUCGGGUUGUAAAGCCCCUUUGUUGGGAAAGAAAAGCAGCAGGUUAAUACCCCGCUGUUCCGACGGUACCCAAAGAAUAAGCACCGGCUAACUUCGUG